This 253-nucleotide ribosomal RNA is filed under the name uncultured bacterium. RNAcentral describes it as "partial 16S ribosomal RNA". It matches the Rfam family "Bacterial small subunit ribosomal RNA", at positions 524 to 776 of the family's 1533-position model. The record is from RNAcentral.
UACGUAGGGAGCAAGCGUUGUCCGGAAUCAUUGGGCGUAAAGCGCGUGUAGGCGGCUCGAUAAGUCUGCUGUGAAAGUCCAGGGCUCAACCCUGGGAUGCCGGUGGAUACUGUCGGGCUCGAGUCCGGAAGAGGCGAGUGGAAUUCCUGGUGUAGCGGUGAAAUGCGUAGAUAUCUGGAGGAAUACCGGUGGCGAAGGCGGCAUCCUGGACCGACAUUGACGCUGAAAACCGAAAGCUAGGGGAGCAAACGGG